RNAcentral lists this long non-coding RNA (207 nucleotides) under Mytilus galloprovincialis (Mediterranean mussel). Lineage: Eukaryota; Metazoa; Mollusca; Bivalvia; Mytilida; Mytilidae. The record is from RNAcentral.
UGAAAAUAUCUGCAGAGGUUUUCUUCAACAAGAACUGAUGACCGAAAUUGAAAGUUUAUAAUCUAUGAAUGAUACAAUGCUUCCAAGAAAACAAUUUAGAAAACUAAUUUGGAUGAUGUUGAUGGACUCGCUCUGCACAAAUUCAAGUCCGUUCUCCUCGACAUUCAGCUCAGAGAUACAAAAAAAUACUAUAGACUAUAACGGGCA